GAGUUUGAUCAUGGCUCAGAACGUACGCUGGCGGCACGCCUAACACAUGCAAGUCGAACGAAGUAGCAAUACUUAGUGGCAGACGGGUGAGUAACAUGUAGGUAUCUGCCCUUUGGCCUGGAAUAACACGAGGAAACUUGUGCUAAUACCGGAUAAGUCUUUACGGAGAAAGCUUUAUGCACCAUUGGAUGAGCCUGCACUUGAUUAGUUUGUUGGUGGGGUAAUGGCCUACCAAGACUGUGAUCAAUAGCUGAUUUGAGAGGAUGAUCAGCCACAUUGGGACUGAGACACGGCCCAAACUCCUACGGGAGGCAGCAGUGGGGAAUCUUGCACAAUGGAGGAAACUCUGAUGCAGCGAUGCCGCGUGAGUGAAGAAGGCCCUUGGGUUGUAAAGCUCUUUCGUCGGGGAAGAAAAUGACUGUACCCGAAUAAGAAGGUCCGGCUAACUUCGUGCCAGCAGCCGCGGUAAUACGAAGGGACCUAGCGUAGUUCGGAAUUACUGGGCUUAAAGAGUUCGUAGGUGGUUGAAAAAGUUAGUGGUGAAAUCCCAGAGCUUAACUCUGGAACUGCCAUUAAAACUUUUCAGCUAGAGUAUGAUAGAGGAAAGCAGAAUUUCUAGUGUAGAGGUGAAAUUCGUAGAUAUUAGAAAGAAUACCAAUUGCGAAGGCAGCUUUCUGGAUCAUUACUGACACUGAGGAACGAAAGCAUGGGUAGCGAAGAGGAUUAGAUACCCUCGUAGUCCAUGCCGUAAACGAUGUGUGUUAGACGUUGGAAAUUUAUUUUCAGUGUC
This 790-nucleotide ribosomal RNA is filed under the name uncultured bacterium. Its description in RNAcentral is "bacterial SSU rRNA". It matches the Rfam family "Bacterial small subunit ribosomal RNA", at positions 9 to 847 of the family's 1533-position model. The record is from RNAcentral.